UAUUGCCCCUCCUCUUAGGACUCAGAGUGAGUGGUGAGGACAGACAAGACCAAGUGUGGAAGUCACGGGAUGUCAUGAGCGCAUGCUGCUACCUGCUGGGCCUCGUGCCGUGCCUGCUGUCACCGGCCACUGCGAAGUUUACUGAACUUUUUACAACAGGUGGGCUCGGACAUAAAGCAAACAGGCUGACGGCCGUGCUGAAUGCCCCUGGGCAUCUUCUCCGUGUCAUGUUGUCAGAGGACUGGGUGGGGAGUGAGCAAAGCAGCGGGGGGCAUCGAUUGCAGCACAACAAGCAGAAGCAGCAGCGCUGAGCACGAGAGAGAGGCUGUUUACUGUGUGUAGUGAGGAGAGACUGAAGAGGAACAGAGGGGUAAGACCAAAGUAAUGGAAUUGAA
This 395-nucleotide long non-coding RNA is filed under the name Astyanax mexicanus (Mexican tetra). Its description in RNAcentral is "lncRNA (ENSAMXG00005014035.1)". The record is from RNAcentral. Lineage: Eukaryota; Metazoa; Chordata; Actinopteri; Characiformes; Acestrorhamphidae.